This is a non-coding RNA of Cajanus cajan (pigeon pea), 1484 nucleotides long. The record is from RefSeq and is a predicted model, not a curated record. NCBI's taxonomy places the organism in Eukaryota, Viridiplantae, Streptophyta, Magnoliopsida, Fabales, Fabaceae.
CCACUACUCUCAACCUGGAUCCGUCCUUGGUUCUUGACGCGUAGGAAGAUAAGCUCGUCCUACUCAACCACUGCUUGGGAGAAGGCAUAUUGCAAGGCGCCAGCAGACUCGCACGUGGGGUCGGCCACCACCAGGCUCUUGCUUCAUUUCUCAUUCUGUUUUUACAUUUUAUUGAUUUAAAAUGGGAUUUUGUCUAUAUGGUGUGGUUAGGUGGCUUACCAAUCAAAACAUGCUCUUGCAUCAAACAUAACUCCAAAAAUUCAGGGAGAUUGAGUAGGGGAGAGCCUGUAUUUUGGAAAGCAAGUUGGAGGAAUUACAAGUCCCUCUUUCUUGUUUUCCUUCAAUCGCAAUUCACACUCAGUCACAUCCUCAGUAAGGUGAUUCCAUUUGUGAGGUGUUCUUUUCUCUCCUAAUUCAAGGUUUUAUGCAGCUAGUGUGUAGUCAAUAUAGAAGAGAUGGAUAAAGUGUCUGCUCCUUCAUCAUAGGAGCCUGCACAAUGCCUUUAUGAGAAGGUACUCCUCUUUCUCCCUUGCUGACAUUAACCAAGCAGACAAUCUCAUAAAUGUGAUUAUUGAGCAAGGGCUCAUAUGCAUAAAUCUCUCUUUGUCUACCUAAUGUGAAGGAACCUGGUUAAUCAUCUAAUUAACUUCAUAGGAAUUUCUUUUUCAUAUGUGGAAUAAAUUCAAAGGAUAUCUUUUUAAUUUCUCAAUGUUUUAUAUAGUGGUUUGAUGGGUGAACCAAACCACCAUGUAGAAAGCCUGGUUAUGAGAAGUUUCAAUGUAAAAAUUUGUUCAUGUAUUUGUCCUGCAUGGAGUUUGGUCCAAUUAUAAACAUAAUUCUGCAAGUCUCUUUUAGUUUAGAUGGCUAAAGUUCACCAAUCAUAGCUAAACAAAGUGAUUUAUAGUGCUAUAAUUCUGCAAGUCUCUUUUAGUUUAGAUGGCUAAAGUUCAAUUUUUGUUGGUUUUUUGAGUUCUAGUGAGAGAAUUUUUGGUGGGUUUGAGAGAUUUUGAUGAUUAAUUUCUAGGUUGAAAGUAGUGGGCGUUAUAGAGAUAAUUACCAAUUGUUGAGAGAGAUAGUCGAGUUUUUUUUUUGGUCGAGAGAGAGUUGAAUUCUUUGUUUUUUUGUGGGUGAUUCAAUAAUCUUGCUUAGAAUGGCUGGUGAGUCCUGUGCCUACAACUACACAAAGGAUGGGUUUUGUGAGGUCUUUUUCUGUUGAUGUUGGGGGAGAAAAUUUGGAGGAACCUAAUCCAAGUGUGGUUGAUCAGCCAAUCUAUGUUGUUGUGUCAAAAGAAUUGAAGGAGAGCAAAUCAAAUCUGGUAUGGGCAAUACCACACUCCGGAGGAAAGAGGAUUUGCAUUCUUUAUGUUCACGUUCCUGCUACAAUGAUCCCCCUAUGUAUGUAUCUACUAUGCUUCUCUAUGUAGUUGUUUUUAAUCAGCAAAAGGAAAAACUUCUCUAUAUGUAUUUGUUCUUGAUACUUAAUU